RNAcentral lists this ribosomal RNA (589 nucleotides) under uncultured bacterium. RNAcentral's name for it is "partial 16S ribosomal RNA". It matches the Rfam family "Bacterial small subunit ribosomal RNA", at positions 354 to 1375 of the family's 1533-position model. The record is from RNAcentral.
UGGGGGAAUUUUGGACAAUGGGCGAAAGCCUGAUCCAGCAAUGCCGCGUGUGUGAAGAAGGCCUUCGGGUUGUAAAGCACUUUUUGUCCGGAAAGAAAUCCUUGGCUCUAAUACAGUCGGGGGAUGACGGUACCGGAAGAAUAAGCACCGGCUAACUACGUGCCAGCAGCCGCGGUAAUACGUAGGGUGCAAGCGUUAAUCGGAAUUACUGGGCGUAAAGCGUGCGCAGGCGGUUUGCUAAGACCGAUGUGAAAUCCCCGGGCUCAACCUGGGAACUGCAUUGGUGACUGGGCAGGCUAGAGUAUGGCAGAGGGGGGUAGAAUUCCACGUGUAGCAGUGAAAUGCGUAGAGAUGUGGAGGAAUACCGAUGGCGAAGGCAGCCCCCUGGGGCCAAAUACUGACGCUCAUGCACGAAAGCGUGGGGAGCAAACAGGAUUAGAUACCCUGGUAGUCCACGCCCUAAACGAUGUCAACUAGUUGUGGGGAUUCAUUUCCUUAGUAACGUAGCUAACGCGUGAAGUUGACCGCCUGGGGAGUACGGUCGCAAGAUUAAAACUUAAAUGAAUUGACGGGGUCAUAGCUGUUUCCU